This 447-nucleotide unclassified non-coding RNA is filed under the name Chaenactis macrantha. Its description in RNAcentral is "partial contains external transcribed spacer and 18S ribosomal RNA". The record is from RNAcentral. Lineage: Eukaryota; Viridiplantae; Streptophyta; Magnoliopsida; Asterales; Asteraceae.
UGAGUGGUGUUUGGUUUGUUACRGGUGGUUGGCUCUUUGCUUGCGCAACAACUUCCACCCGGCAUACCUUUUCAGUUCUUUGCAUAGGCUUCUAUUGCCUGUGCAGAUUGUGGGUUUCCUGUGUUGCAUACCAAUAUAUGGUAUUUUCUUGCUUGAUGAGAGUCCCUCUUCGUCUUGUGUCAAUGCCAUGACACUAGACGAACCAUGAAGCUGUCUCUUUGAACCAUAUUGUUAACACAUGUGUUGAUGAUGUGGCUCAUUGGGCAUUGGUUGGUAUCUUGGAUAUAGAACCUUAUGUUGGUAUGGGGUCUCAYGAGAUCCCUAUUCUACCUUCACUUAGCGUUYGCGCUUCUCUUAAAAUGACUGCCUGCGCCCGUAUUGGCUCGUACCAGCGGGGCAAGCUAUGUCAAAGAGGAAUGCUACCUGGUUGAUCCUGCCAGUAAGUCA